Molecule: transfer-messenger RNA, 369 nt
Filed under: Propionibacteriaceae
Lineage: Bacteria; Bacillati; Actinomycetota; Actinomycetes; Propionibacteriales
Also listed under: 1 other name
Description: Arachnia flavescens Standard tmRNA
Rfam family: transfer-messenger RNA
About the family: Bacterial tmRNA, also known as 10Sa RNA or SsrA, is named for its dual tRNA and mRNA-like properties.
Source: RNAcentral
GGGGGUGACUGGUUUCGACUCGGGACGGUAGUUCCAGGGGAAGCGGGUCGAGGAUCCACGCUUAUCUCGUUAACGCUGCGUGGAAACCAAUAAGUGCCAACAACAACCGCACUAACUUCGCUCUCGCUGCCUGAUCAGCGACCGAAGGGUCAGCUCGGAUGAGCCUUCCGUCCGAUUCCUGGCCUCAUUCAGAAGGCUUGCUGAGCCGCCUGUGUUUCAGGGGCUGCUCGGGACUUAACUGAGACUGGGUCCGUUUGCGACUUGCCGACAUGAGUGCAAGGACCGAGUAAAACGCCUACGUCGGCUGCACCCGGAGAAGCCCUGGUUCACCUCUCGAGGACGCGGGUUCAAUUCCCGCCACCUCCACCC